Molecule: long non-coding RNA, 1786 nt
Filed under: Zea mays
Lineage: Eukaryota; Viridiplantae; Streptophyta; Magnoliopsida; Poales; Poaceae
Description: long non-coding RNA (ZMAY_LNC003924)
Source: RNAcentral
UUUGCUGGCCUGUUUGGAGCCCGGUUCCCCGGGUCAGUGUCUCCCACGAAUUGCCAAAACACCAGAGAACGCUCCCCCGAGUCGCGACCCCGGGCAGGUUUCCCCACGGACAGGGCAUCCGACCGCGACGAAUCUCUGGCCUCUCACCGCCGCCGUGACGAAUCUCUGGCCUCCCACUGCCGCCGCAACGUCCAGCUCUGCUCUGCUCCGACGUCCAGCUCUGGCUUGUCGUCCUCCGCGCGUACUCCGCGCUACUGGAUCUCUGGCUUGCUCGUACGGGAUCUCUAGCGCGUACAGGAUCGCAUGACAUCCACUGCUCGUCCUCCGCGCUAUUGGAUCUAUGGCUUGCCGUCCUCAGCGCGUCGUCCCCAUCUCUGGCUUGAGGUAUUCAAACUUUGCGACACUACAGAGAUUAAAGUGGUAGUAUCUCUUUCCGGAAGCCUGCAUGUGGUCAAUCAAGUCAGUUCUUGCAAAUCAAACUUUGCGACACUUCACGCACUCCUCAAGCUUUUCUAUGUUGUUGCAAAUGAAAACCAGCAUAAGCAAUCAAAUGAUAUGUUGCUUCUGUUCUGUGAUUUACACCAUUUUAAAUGAAACUUCUGGACCUGUUGGGUUAAUUGCUGCGAAUUCCAUUAGUAUCCUUUGAUUUACCACCGUCCAAUCUACCUUCCUAAUUUUCUGAAUACAUUUUCCCUGUGCAACUUGAUUUAUUCCUUGACUAACUGUAAAGAUAUGUUGCUAAAAAUAGGUAUUCUGCAAUAUUUAUAAAAGAUUAUUUCUAGCUACAUAACUUUGUUCAUAUCUAACAUUGGGAUCUCUCACGUUGUCUGUUUUUUUAAUGGAUGUUAGUAGCUGAUGACAUUCUUUACAGGGCUAAUUCUAUUUUCCUAAUUUCUAGUUUGACCACUGUUUUCUCUGAGAGGGUUUUCUUGAACGGAAUGAGGUUCAAGCAGACUGCUCCCAUUCAAAUAGCGAUUGGCAUCUCGCCACUGGAGAUGUAAUCACCAGAUCAUUGCAUAAAUAUGUGUGGCUGGUACAAGUUUCUAAAGUCUUGUUUCUGGUGCUGACAAAUUAAUGAAGUCUUUGCUAUUUUUCUAAAGACCUGUUCCUAGUGUUGACAGAUUAUCCUGGUGCCGACAGAUUAAUAAUAGAUUAAUGAAGUCUUGUUAUUGGAUUCUGUUUCAACUUUCAUUAGUGGAACUAGAAUAAAAGGAGGAGCCUUUGCUAUUUUUCUGAUUUUAGUGCAUUAACACAAGUUUUUUACAGAAUUUAUUCAGUGGAAGCAACACAUAUGAUAUUCUAGUUUUUUCAGUGGAAGCAACACAUAUAGUUUUUUUCUAUGUUAUUAGCAUUGAACUAUAUAAUUGUGUAACCAUAUAAAUUAAAAUGUGUAUCAAUUGAUGUUACUUGCAGUGUGUUAAGUGGAAGCAACACAUGAAGCGGAUAUGGAGAAGGAAGCUGGCAUGAAACUAAAACGCAUUAAGUUGACAUGUGGCGUGCAUGUUUUAGAUGUCUUAUUCUACUGCCAAACUUCCUAAUACUCCAUUUUUAUAUUAUAAUGUCUAUCUGUACGUGUGAAUGGAGAUAAUGAUAUUAUGUGAUGUGAUGAUGGAUGGAUUAGCUUCGUUGAAUAUUACAUGAUAUUAUGUGAUGGUGAUAUUAAGUGGACAUUGCAGUGUUGAUACAUGCUUCAUAUUUCUGGAUUUUUAGUGAUGUUUUAUUGUUUAUGGGUUUUCUAAAUAUUCCUUAUUUUUGUUUGAUUUUUUUUCUGAAUUUUUGAUGUAUU